UGAGUAACACGUAGGUAACCUGCCCUCAGGAUUGGGAUACUCCCGGGAAACCGGGCUCAAUACCGAAUAUGAUUCCAGGGUGAAAUGCCCAGGGAUAAAAGCUGCGGGCAACCGUGGCACCAGAGGAGGGACCUGCGGCCUAUCAGCUUGUUGGUGAGGUAACGGCUCACCAAGGCGAAGACGGGUAGCCGGACUGAGAGGUUGAUCGGCCACACUGGAACUGAGAUACGGUCCAG
Molecule: ribosomal RNA, 236 nt
Filed under: uncultured bacterium
Lineage: Bacteria
Description: partial 16S ribosomal RNA
Rfam family: Bacterial small subunit ribosomal RNA
Source: RNAcentral